This is a long non-coding RNA of Zootermopsis nevadensis, 858 nucleotides long. RefSeq lists it as uncharacterized. NCBI's taxonomy places the organism in Eukaryota, Metazoa, Arthropoda, Insecta, Blattodea, Termopsidae. The record is from RefSeq and is a predicted model, not a curated record.
GAAUGUCCGAAAAUAUGGCGAGAGUUUGAAAUUAAUACACUUACGUCAGAAUAAAGACAAAUAUAAGGGAAUGGGUGAUAUCUUAAUAGCGUACGAAAAUAGUUUAACUUUCUGGAGCACGAAACUGUAUAUAUCAUUUAAGAAUCCGGUCCGUACCGCAAAGAAAACACAGCAGUUCACCAUUACAAAGUUCAGUUGGGAUUUAGUUACGAUUACGAGGGUAAAUCAGUCAUCUAAUUCGAUACCUGGCGCCAGAACCUCCACGCUGUUGAACACUUCGAUCCGGCUGACAACGUCGCCUGCCUCGUCCUGAAGCAGAAAUGCAAUGAAGCGACAUCAAGACAACUGAUCACAAGCCAGACAAAUCCGCAUUCAUGACAGAUUUCAGGGACAACUGGUAUGAAUUUUUAUUUUAAAUGUGAAACCUUCACGCCAGUUUUAAUGGGUGUUCAUGUUAGCGGUACUAACCUGGCCGAUGGCCGAACUGCUACCUGGGUAAGUGUCAGUGCUGGCGACAUUAACAGUAGGCUGUCGGCAGGCAGCUGGCAUGUGACAGUACGUUGUUGAUCGGCCGCUUGCUGCAGAUGUCGAUCCAUCUGUAUCUCCACCACCGCGGUGUACGCGAGACUUACUGCAUCCUGCUACAGGGUGACCAACUAUUGAAACAACUGACUCUAUCUCACUAGCCUUUUUUAAAAUGCGUAAACUAAUCUCAUUGUACGUCCUGAUUGACUGCUGGGUUUAUAGUCAAUUAAACUUCAUUUGUUAUUCAUAAAUAUUAAUGUAUGAAAUAAUUACAAUCAAAACUUAAGACUCUACUAGAUUAGAUAAAAUUAAAAAUGAAGAUAUACAGUUCAA